Halichondria panicea is the source of this 6595-nucleotide RNA transcript. RefSeq lists it as uncharacterized. The record is from RefSeq and is a predicted model, not a curated record. The transcript is spliced from 20 exons. Lineage: Eukaryota; Metazoa; Porifera; Demospongiae; Suberitida; Halichondriidae.
CAAGACAUUGAAGGGCGUGUCACACUGUCCCAUUUUAAUUUGUUAAAAUUCUUUAGAACUUCCAGAGAGAUGCCAGCACAUCUAGUAACAGAUGACUGCUACCAGCAACUGAUUGACAGUCUUCAGUCUGCAGUCCCAAAAUCUCUCUCUAUAAUCGGAUCUCUAAGAAAUACCCUCAAAGGACGGCUGAAGGCUAACUUCUAUGUGGACAAAUGGCCAGAAUUUACUGCUGUAGUCUGUCAAUAUAUUUGGCCAAGACGCUCAGAUGUGUCGGACAUUGGUGCAUAUGCCACAUCUAGUGAGGCUCUUCUCACUGUGCUCACUGAAGCGGAUCUGGUCACCUGGGGGAAGAGACAGGAGUUCCAACGUAUAGAAGACAAGCAUGCUGAUUAUCUACUUGAGCAUCUCAGACCUAUCGGAUCCACUUCUCAGAAUGAUGGAUUGAAAUGUAUCCACGAAAGAACAUCUGUUGUCUUGAAUGAUGUAAUGGAUAUUCGUCGGAAUGGGUCCCUGCAAGGUGCUCUCGAUGUGUUAGCUGACAUGAUUCCAGAGGGGUAUGUUCUCGGAAGGCUCCAACCACAUCAUGCUGAGAUGGUGGCUUCUCAAUGGCUGAGACUACACGGCUGGCCUAACAAAGAACCUUACUUCAGAGAACUUAUCAAGAGCUAUUUUUGUCCAGCAAUUUAUUCGUUGGACAAUUUGGAAAAGCCUGCUUCGUAUAUAGUACAAUUUCCAUGCAACCAGACAUUUGGUUAUACUGAUGAUAAAUACAAGGGACAGCACUUAGUUUUAGUGCCUGGAACGUAUUGUUACAUCUUUCAGCUGGCAAUGGAAGGAUUAUACCCACUCGAAGAAGAAGUAUCUGAUCCUCGCAGGAUCCCUGUUUUCACCAAACUGAAUGGAACUCUUUCAGGCUACAAUGUUAAAGACUUAGCAACAAGAAACACCAUAGACAUAGAUUCUAAGUUGUAAUGUUUGUUCAGUAUAGCUUUAAAUGUUUUGUUGUGGCAAGUGCAAGAAUGUCAUGAUCACUUAUCACUAAUGGCAUCUACACAAGCAUGCCACAUCCUGAACAAAAGGAAUUGUGAUGGUGCUGUUUGGUGCAGUCCUGUGGGCCUGGGGUGCCCUUCUGACACUUCCCUUAUGCCCCAGAGCAGAACUGGUGGCUGAACGCAGCCUGAGAAACCAUGUCAUUGAAAAGAGAUUUGAAUCCGAUAUGGACACAGAUUUUACGGUAGAGUCCAUCAUCGUGGCUGAGGAUGUGGGUGUAUUGACGGACACAUUGUGUGUGAAAGGGGGUCCAAACAAGAGGAGCUUUGGUCUCUUCAGUACUCGAGGCUCAGCUGAACGUUGUUCUGGUGGACCCUGCCCUGCAGCUAUAGAGAGAGUCGACUAUGUUCGUGUGUAUGUGGAUGAGUUCAGGCCUCAUCCGGAAGAGCUGGUGUGUUUCGACGUGACUAUUCUUGACGACUCUCUAGUAGAGGGGAGGGAGUUCUUCCUGAUUGGUCUGCUCGACUUGCGUUGGGGGGAAGUGCUCUCCACAAUAUCCAUCACCAUCAUGGAUAAUGACAGUCCUCAGCUGUUGUCCGAUCGAGAGGUGGUGGCCGAGAAUGUGGGUGUGUCUCAGCUCUGUCUGACAGGUGGAAUCAUCGAGCUGCCACUGGUUGUGCAAACUAGCGGACCUGACCUUGAGGAGAUGACUGAGUUCAUUACUUCCUUUCCGAAUGAGUUGGUGUGUGUGAACUUCACUGUUGUGGACGAUGAGUUGUUUGAAGGACUAUUGGAGGUGGUGGGAAUAACGAUCAAGAGUGCUAACACAUCCAUUGGAAACUUCUCUGAAACUUUCCUGCUCUACAUUGGUGAUAACGAUGAAACUCCCCAGUUUGAGCAAAGCUCUUACACUGUGACUGAAGGAGACCCCCAGUUUCAGGUGUGUGUGGUCUUCACCACGGACUCGAAUAUGCAAGUGGAAAGCUCUCUGAUCUUCAGUAGCGAUGGAUCAGCUAAAAGUGGCCUUGACUAUGUUGAGGUGGCCCAAGCCUUCGUGAUCGGGUCGGGGGAGAGACGAUGUGUGAAUGUGACUAUUAUUGACGAUGACAGUGCUGAGAGAAUGGAAACAUUCACAGUUAGUCUCACCUCUGCAAACUCUGAGCUGCAACCGUUCCAAGCAACAGUGACAAUCAUGGACAAUGAUGUGAUCACGUUCGAGGAGAGUGUGUACAGCUCUUUUGAGGGGGAGAGCGGUGUGGAGGUGUGUCUCCGCCUGCCUAGUGGGCGGGGCACCAUGAGAGGCCUCCUCGUGACUGAGAGUGGGUCUGCUUUAGAGAGACUGGAUUAUUUCCCUCUUGGUUACAUCUUCUUUAACAUCAGUGACUCAGAGCGGAAGUGUUUUUUCAUCUACAAUUACCGGGACAAUCUCCCUGAGGGCAGGGAAGAGUUCACUGUACGAGUGUACACAUUUUUCUUUAGGAAUUUUGUCAUUGACGUCCGAACAGCACGAGUCAUUUUGGAGGAUGAUGAUUCCAGUGUGUGUGCCAAUCUCACUGUGCCAGAGAAUGGCAGAAUAGUGUCUUUCACGGAUGAGAAUAAUCCCGGCUCAGUGGCAGUCUACUCUUGUAUUUUUGGCUACCAGCUGGCUGGUCUCCAGGGGAACACUCGCACGUGUAUGCCAACAGGAGUGUGGAACGGGAGAGCCCCCACGUGUCAAGCGAUAAUGUGCCCUAUUCUGAGUGAUCCCCUGGACGGCACAGUGACUGUGUCUGGUCGAACCGUCCACUCAGUAGCCACCUACACUUGCAACACUGGCUAUCGACUUGAGGGUGAUGCACAGCGGUCGUGUCUGGCCUUAUCUGGUGGAGUGUGGAUUGGGAGCACCCCAGUUUGUACAUUAAUUGAGUGCUCCCUGCUGCUCCCCCCUCCCAACAGUAUGCUGACCCUCCCCUCGGUGAGGACGCCAGGAUCUGUGGCAAAGUACAGUUGUCUGAAUGGGUUGGUACUCGUGGGAAGUGCUGUAAGGAUUUGUCUGGACAAUGGUACAUGGAACCAGUCUGAACCUGUUUGUGUUGAUGCACUGAAUGAAGGAGCGUUAGUAGCACUGAGGCUAAUCAACAAUUCCCCACAAAUCAACGGAGGUACGGUGUCUGUGGAUUUCUCUGUCAGUGGGCCAGUGAACAAAGUAACGUGCUCUCUCGGCCAGAAAAUGGUAGAGGAAGAUUUUCGAUAUCAAAAGCAAGGAGGAAUGACGUUCACUGACGUAGCUCCUGGAGUCCACACACUAGAGCUAUAGUGGUCACAAGUCUUGUGUCCGAGCAGACGUCCAUUGUAAAACACUCCUUUGAGAUUGGCUCUCAAUCAAACUUUUGUGGCUUGCACUUGAUUAACGAAUUCAGGGGCGUAGCCAGACUUUUGACAUAGGGUUUCCUCUGAAAAACCAGCGGCGCGGUAGCGCCGGGAAAUUUUAGCCACGCCUACUUCCGGUGCCACACCCUCUUGAUUGGGGCACACCUACUGCUCAUUGUUUGUAAUGACUUUUUUUACAUGUUUGUGAGAAGCUAGCUAGACUAGCUAGUCUAGCUAGCUAUAGACAUUCUAAAAGGCAGGUGUCAAUUGUGUAUUGCUAGUCUAGCUGAGCACCAUUACAUUUACCUGAGAGGUUUCAUGUGGCUGAGAUUGUUCUAAACUUGUCCUUCCUGAAUAUCGAAUAAAGUUGUGCUUAGAGCUGAGUCUGAGAAUACUGGAGCAUGCAGGAUUGAUACUAGAACUUAAGUCUUGGUCUUCUUUGUUUGAGGUAGCUAGCUAGCUAGCUGAGACAAAGCUAGCCAAAGUGAAACGAUUCACGGUGCUAUCUCUACAUGAUUUGCAGCCACGUGCAUGAAAAGAUGGGCAGGGCUGCUUGAUUUCAAUUAUUGGGGAGCCCUGCCCAAUUUUCUCAGCAGCUCCUGGGGGGGUUUCUGGGCAACCAGGAAACAAUGGUAGCUACGCCCCUGACAUGGUGCCGUUGUGGAUACUCACAAACUGAGGGUGGAGUUUGGGGCUGUUCCAAUGGCCAAGUCUUAUCACUGUGAACUGGAUGACCAGUCUAGAUUGACUAAUCUUACUACAAGCAAAAUUUUGCUAAACAGUGAAAUCACAGACAAAUCUACCUGUGAAAAUAUGUCACCUUAAGGUAUACUAUACAGUCAUGCUAUGAAGUGUCAUGCUAAACUUAAAUCUAAUUUCCAAUGGCAGGUGUUAGUCCUGUGGAGUUGAGUGCACUAUAAGACCUAGACCAUACCUACUGAUGAUCAUGCACGACAAAGAUGAGUGUGAAUAUCGUAGACAAUUGCUCAUUAGCUUUGACAUUGAGAACAGUUGAGUUACAUUCACCAUUCACAGACGGCAAGUAAGACAAGACUUUAGAGUGCUGCAGUUAGAUAGCUUUGAGUAGCUAGUUUUAGAUAGCUAGUGCAACUAUUCAGUCACACACUGGUCUAUUAAACUUAGCUAGCUCGCAUGCAGCUGCUUGCUUAUUCCGGACACUUCACAUGCUGUAUAAAAAUCUGUUCCAAUUAUACCCGGACAAUUUCCAAAAUAAUUAUUUUUUGCUGUCCGAUAAAUUAAAAGAUAUACGGUACAUGAGAGGGGUACACUUGUAUCAUAGAUGAUACAGUACUGACGUGGAUGUGAAACGGCCUAGUAUCCGGAGGGGUCCACGGGAAUUGUCUGAAGCUAUCAUCGUAACGAGCAGAUUAUGUUAGAAACCCUGUAACUGUCAUGUUUAUAUAGCAACCAGAGCGUAGUAAACAGUGUUCCGUGUCUGAAAACUGGUGAAAACUAGUGUUCAAGCUGGCGCUGUGCUAAUGCCUCUCGCCAUGUUUUUGCUUUCGCUCAAAAGUAUUAGAGUGUUAUAUUAGUUUCUAUAAUGAAUUUUAUAUUAAAGUUAGCUUACCUAUAUAAAGUCACUGAGAAGAAAAGACUUAUUUAUAUGCAUCUAUUGUUGUUAUUUAUUGUAUUAUGUGGCUUACCAGGACCUCAAGAAAGAAGAAAAUUGAUUCUUCCAGGAUCUGUAGUUCAGUGUAUAUAAUAUCAGACCUGUGUACAUGCAUAUUGUUAUCUAUAUUGUUAUAUGGUGUUUUGUGGCUUACCAGGCCCUCAAGACAAAGAUGAUUCUGCCAGGAGGAUCUGGAUCUGGAUCUUGGUUUCUCACACGUGGGGAAUGAGCGCGCAUGCGCAUUACAUCCACUGGCACAGGAAUAAUAAAGGGUGUGUCCAAACAGAUCAAUGGCUACUGCUAGCUAGCUGUUUUAACAGAUAUUUUCUGAGUCUUGUAGCUAACAAAAAGCUAGCGCUUUAGUGCAAGGCUAACUCAUAUGUUGAAUAGAAAGUAUGUGCGGACAGAUGAUGCUAUGAAAGAUUCUGAAGAGACUGCAACAGCCUUCAAUGUGAGUCAAACUAGCCAUAACUCGAGAAAGAAGCUUUAGUUUGCUAAUCCACGAAUCAAAAUCCAAGAGAACGUGGCUAGAAGCCUAUAGAAGCUGUUAGUUUUCGUCGCAUUGCAACCGUUGAGCAGUUACAGCUGGAACAGACACACAGACACACAGACACACACACAGUCAGCUUUACCGUAUCCCUCGUGCGGCUACGCCUCGAGGCAUAAUGACCGGCACACAUUGAUACUUGCAGUGGGCUUGUAGGUAAGACUAGUUUCUCUAAGCUCAUGGGAGAAUAUCAUAUUUUAGCAUAAAUUUUCCUGUAAAAAUACUUUGUGUGAGAUUUUUGGCUUGGACAGUAAAUAUUCAGGUUACCAUUCAGUAGUAAUACUUGAAGUACACUGUAAACUACGAGGAGAAUCUAUGUUUGACAACUGUUAUGAAAGUUUAAGUGCUAUAGAAAGGGCUAAAGCAUGAGUUAGUUGCACUUUUUGCGUGAGAUUAUUUCUAAACCUGUUGAGCCUACUUUUUGCAUAUUUAGCUGAUGAAAACCUUCGUGUAUUGAUGCAGCAGGAGAAUCUAUUAACUAAGCAUACAGUAAAGUUAUUGGAAAAAUACAGCCUCAAGAAAAAUAUGUAAAAUCCAUGUACAUGUACUGUUAAACAAAAAUUAAUGCUACGUUCUUAUUACAACUACAAUUAUGAUUUCUAUCAAUAAGUUCACACGUACAUGUACAUGUCAUUAACUUUCCAAAUUGCAGUGUUGUCUUUCGCUGAGCUAAGAUAUCAAUUGCCAAAUGUUAGCUAAUUAUACUAUCAAGUGAAAUUUAUCCCAGGACCUACUCGAGUGCUACUUCUCUAGGCAACACCAUCGGUGAAGACAGCAUUAACGUCCAACCUCUUUUCAAGUGCCGUGUAUCUACACUUGUAUAGGAAUUUCGAACCGGCAAGUUGGAAUGUGUCUCUCUCACAGCCACUUUGUAAACGAUUAAGAAACAGUUUAUCAUGUACUAUAAAUUAAUACUCUCAAGACUAUUAUAAUAUUAGCAUGUACACGUACACGUACACGUACAGAUCAUCAACAAUUUCACCCGUUUGCUUAUCUCAUGCUAGUGUUAUGAGUCAGCCACACUUCUUUUGAUCUACAUGCAUGCUACCAACAUUGAGUGGCUUGCUUUUUGGAUAUAA